Molecule: long non-coding RNA, 1565 nt
Organism: Drosophila innubila
Lineage: Eukaryota; Metazoa; Arthropoda; Insecta; Diptera; Drosophilidae
Exons: 2
Source: RefSeq, a predicted model, not a curated record
UCUCUCCCUCUCUCGCUCUCUCUCAUGAUUAUUAUUUGCUACCGGAACAAAUUACUGAAAUUUCUUGGAAGAUUGUUCCCCAAUCUUUCGCAUUAUUUUGCCUGCUGCUUUUACUUAGUUUCUUCUCUAUUCUCCCUCUCUCUCUCUUUCUGUCGAUCGUUCUUUCUCUCUAUUCGGUAUAUAGAGAUGUACGUAAAUUAUAUUUAAAUAAAUAUGUAUGUAUACAUAUAUGAAAUAUCUUGACAAAUACAUAACUAGACACUGAGUAAACAGCAAUUUCCGUAGAAUUGUGUGGCCUGAAACUUUUGUGCAGAUCGGGCAGAAAUUCAAACUGCAACGACGCCACAAUUCUUAAACAAUCAGACGACGGCUUUUGAAAGACGCGGCUUGUUGGUGCGGGGGUGAGGUGGGGUAAGGCGGGUGUACAAAUUAUUGUAUAAAUCAGCAGAAAAAGGCAACGAGCCGAACAAAAAAUAAAAAUAAUAAACCUUAAUUCGAAGCUUCGAGCUUGAUUCAUUCAUACCCAUACAACUACACAAAUGUAUACAAUAAGCGUGAUCGAAGUGGAGAGAGGAGUGACAGGGUAGCGGGCAGAGGGGAGAGUGAACUGCCAAUUGAGCUAUGAAAACCGAUCAAAACGGUCCGGUCCCAAUUGAAAUUGUUUCCAGGCACGAGCAAUGACACAAAAUGAUAUCCGAAAAGUGACCGAAAAACCAAACCAAGCCCACAAACUAACAAAAUUGCAAUCCACCAAUCACAAGCUGGAAGACAGGCGGACAGGAGAAAGAGGCCCAAGCUUCAGCAACAGCUUCAGCUACAGUCACAGUUCCAGUCAAAAUGCCACAGAAAGUCGUGCACUGGCAAUAAUCAUUGCUUGGAGGAUGGAUGUAUAAAUGUAGAGCGAGGGAAAGAGGAUGAAAGGGAGAGAGAGGCUACAACUCCUCGACGGGCUUUUGCUCUUCUCUGACUCUAUUUUGUCGGCGAACAUGGAUCUAGUGCACGGUUGCUCAUGAUUAAGUUCGUGACUAGAUUUCAUGCUCGUCUAUUAAGUUGGGUCAACACACACAACAUGGCCAAUUGCAGCCAUGGCUAAGAGGAGAGCAGCAGCCCAAGUAGAGUUGCCAUUAGGCAUUUAUCGAGAGUCGUCAAUUAGCCAAAUACGAGUACUUAAUGCUUGAUCUGCUUAUAAAACAAUUUGUGCUAAUGCCCUGCAGAUACACAUAUAUGUAUGUACAUAUGUAGACUACUCAUAAAUGUGAAGCCCUUGUUUGUUAAAGAACGGCAGAAAUUAAUGAUUAUAUUACUUGCUUCUGACCCGUGACCCACAUAAUGACAGAGAACCCGCCCGCAGCAACAGUCGCUGCCAAAAAUACAGAAGAUGCAGCAGAUACGGGAAAAAAAGUCUAAACUCAUUUCAGUUGGCGAACAAAACGAGGCCCGGAACACCUUUCAACCCUGACGCGCUUCAGUCUCUUUCCCCUCUGUACCUUUGGAGUUGUUGUUAUUGCCGGAAUCGCAUUUCUAGCUUCACGCACUGGAAUCCAAUAAAACAAAAACAAAAUAGA